RNAcentral lists this transfer RNA (69 nucleotides) under Eopsaltria australis (eastern yellow robin). Its description in RNAcentral is "tRNA-Arg". RNAcentral also lists the same sequence under 1 other name. Lineage: Eukaryota; Metazoa; Chordata; Aves; Passeriformes; Petroicidae. The record is from RNAcentral.
AGAAAGUUAGUCUAACCAAGACAGUUGAUUUCGACUCAACAGAUUAUAGCCCCACCCUAUAACUUUCUU